CAGCAGCCGCGGUAAUACGGAGGGUGCAAGCGUUAAUCGGAAUUACUGGGCGUAAAGCGCACGCAGGCGGUCUGACAAGUCAGAUGUGAAAUCCCCGGGCUUAACCUGGGAACUGCAUUUGAAACUGUCAGGCUGGAGUCUUGUAGAGGGGGGUGGAAUUCCAGGUGUAGCGGUGAAAUGCGUAGAGAUCUGGAGGAAUACCGGUGGCGAAGGCGGCCCCCUGGACAAAGACUGACGCUCAGGUGCGAAAGCGUGGGGAGCAAACAGGAUUAGAUACCCCUGUAGUCCCUGUCUCUUAUAA
This 301-nucleotide ribosomal RNA is filed under the name uncultured bacterium. Its description in RNAcentral is "partial 16S ribosomal RNA". It matches the Rfam family "Bacterial small subunit ribosomal RNA", at positions 509 to 809 of the family's 1533-position model. The record is from RNAcentral.